UCUGCCUCUGCAAUCGGAAUAACGACUGGAAACGGUCGCUAAUACCGGAUACGCUUAAGUUUUACCUCUUAAGGAAAGAUGACCUCUAUUUAUAAGUUAUCGUGCAGAGAUGAGUCCGCGUCCCAUUAGCUUGUUGGCGGGGUAACGGCCCACCAAGGCGACGAUGGGUAGCCGAUUUAAGAGGAUGAUCGGCCACAUUGGAACUGAAACACGGUCCAAACUCCUACGGGAGGCAGCAGUGGGGAAUAUUGCGCAAUGGGCGAAAGCCUGACGCAGCGACGCCGCGUGAGGGAUGAAGGUCUUCGGAUCGUAAACCUCUGUCAGAAGGGAAAAAUGUACAGUGCCCCAAUCAACACUGUAUUGAUGGUACCUUCAGAGGAAGCACCGGCUAACUCCGUGCCAGCAGCCGCGGUAAUACGGAGGGUGCAAGCGUUAAUCGGAAUUACUGGGCGUAAAGCGCGCGUAGGUUGUUUUGUAAGUCAGAGGUGUAAUCCCACGGCUUAACCGUGGAACUGCCUUUGAUACUGCAUAACUUGGAUCCGGGAGAGGACAGCGGAAUUCCAGGUGUAGGAGUGAAAUCCGUAGAUAUCUGGAAGAACAUCAGUGGCGAAGGCGGCUGUCUGGACCGGUAUUGACGCUGAGGCGCGAAAGCGUGGGUAGCAAACAGGAUUAGAUACCCUGGUAGUCCACGCUGUAAACGAUGGAUGCUG
This 710-nucleotide ribosomal RNA is filed under the name uncultured bacterium. Its description in RNAcentral is "bacterial SSU rRNA". It matches the Rfam family "Bacterial small subunit ribosomal RNA", at positions 125 to 818 of the family's 1533-position model. The record is from RNAcentral.